UUUCUUUUUCAGCAUCACUACAGUGACAAGGCUUUUCAAAUCAGGAGGGUUUUGUUUCUUCUUCGUUCAUCUUCUAUUCUAUCUGCAGCGCCUGGUCCCUCUCAGGCCGCGCCAGCAGUCGCCAGCUCCCAACGACGCCGCCACCACUGCAGCCGUGAAACCAGUGGUCGCCGUCCAGGUUGGCCCUCCGUUUUCGUUUCUCACAUCAAAUCAGUGACUUAGUUUUUGAUUUUUCGGGGUUGAUUUUUAAUGUUUGGCACUCCGAAUCUUAUCCUUAAAUUUGAGCUGACUCUGAUUCGGUGCUCUGAAAUUUUGAUUUCAUUCUGAUUUUGUUUGGUGACCAAUCCAUGUCAGCUUUGAUCAUGGACUCUUGCAUAUUAUUAUAGACUCAUACUGUCAUUUGCAUUGCAACUUGCUGCUUAUAAGAUUUUAUGUAGAUUGCAGAGCUUAUAUUAUAAUCCAAUUUCAUGUUAGUCCAACUCUCAAGGUUCAUCUAUAUCUGGAAAUAAAGAAAAAGCUUAAACACCAGAGGCAAUUCUUAUAGUAUUUUUACGAGGUGUUUUUGCCUCGUGUGUAGUUAAGUUUGAGUUACUCUUCAGCAGAGAAAUUGUCUUUUUCUCUCCUAUUUCGCCGCAGGUUUGUGCAGGAAACGCUGUUACUACCGCUAACUGUAUCAUCAGUACAAAUAAAAGGAUCAGAAAGCAUUAUUUAGGAAUUUCUGUUUGCACACAUUUGGCAGUUUUCUUUUUAUUAUUUUUCAAUCGUUAAACGUCAUGCACCGAAGAGCCCCAUUCCCUCGUCUCCUUCUCGAUAAUGUCGCAUGUAUGAGAAAUGCACAGCAAGUUCUGCGUCAUGUGAAUGUGUCUCUUCAUGAUGGAGGGGCGCUUGUGCUAACAGGCGCAAAUGGCUCGGGGAAGACAACUUUCCUGCGUAUGUUAGCUGGGUUUUCUCGUCCUUCUGCUGGCCAAAUCCUUUGGAAUGGCCAUGACAUACAACAAUCUGCAAUAUACCAUCAAUAUAAGCUUCAACUUAACUGGCUCUCUCUCAAGGACGCCAUUAAUGAUAAGUUCACAGUUCUCAACAAUGUACAAUGGUUUGAAGUUCUUGAGUACAAGGAAGGGAAGGCUUUGGCUGCUGUGGAGUUGAUGGGACUAGGAAGAUUAGCUAAUGAAAAACCAAGGAUGCUUUCUAUGGGCCAGCGUAAAAGACUACAACUUGCCAGGUUGCUCGCAAUUGAUCGACCCAUAUGGUUGCUAGACGAGCCUUCGGUUGCAUUAGACGAUGAAGGAGUAAAGUUGCUUGAGUAUAUCAUUGCAGAACAUAGGAAACACGGAGGAAUUGUGAUAGUGGCGACUCAUCUACCCAUUGAGAUAGAAGAUUCCAUGGUUUUGAAACUUCCACCAAGGUUUCCCAGGAGGAUGACCCAUGCGGAUAUGCUUGAUCGGGCGGAUAUCAGUUAAGGGCCUUUUUGGAUGCUUCUUCUCGGGGCUUCUCUACUCACAUAAGUUCUUUGUUGUUUAAAAAUGAGCAUUUGAGAAUGCAAUUGGAUAUGGUUUUCCAAUAAGCACGUUUUAGCUCUAUCUUGACUUGGAGUGAUACAUGCAUGAUUUUUCCUUGUUUAUAAAGGCAGGUCGGGAAAAUUGCUCAUGCUUUCUCAAUACAGGACUGAGGUUAAGCCUUUAACCUUUGACUCUACUGGGGCCUCUUCCUCAGUUGGCAUCUGGAACCUGAAUCCGCUCAUUGCGCUUGUUCAACUUAUCAACAGUAUGAGGGUGUUGAUCCUCUAAUUCUUUGGCUCUAGCAUCCUUAAUCUCCAUAUCUACAAAAUCCUUCUGCUCAACAGAUAACAGUGGUCGUUUACUGGUAUAAAACUAAAGUAGAUUGGUCAACAGGUUUCCCAGAUUUAGAAUACCUAUCAUUAUUUCCUUGAACUUUAAGGAAGAUGAUGACUUGCUACUGAUACUGAAAUCCCUUUCCUUAUUAUAGCUUGUCCAGCCUUCAUAUUAAGAACGUCCUAGUUGAUGAUGUUGCUGUGCAUCAUCUGAGUUGGCUUCUCCAUUUUCCCUGUGCGUGCUCUUGCAGACACACC
RNA transcript from Vigna radiata var. radiata (mung bean), 2089 nucleotides. It is a transcript of the gene named ABC transporter I family member 1, with no coding region annotated. The transcript is spliced from 3 exons. The record is from RefSeq and is a predicted model, not a curated record. Lineage: Eukaryota; Viridiplantae; Streptophyta; Magnoliopsida; Fabales; Fabaceae.